This 1323-nucleotide long non-coding RNA is filed under the name Felis catus (domestic cat). Its description in RNAcentral is "lncRNA (ENSFCAG00000051162.1)". The record is from RNAcentral. Lineage: Eukaryota; Metazoa; Chordata; Mammalia; Carnivora; Felidae.
UUUGUUUUCCUUUUGUUUUGAACUUACAAUUGAACACAAAAACAAAAGUGCACAGGUUGCGAGCACACACGAGCUGGUGAGUUCUCACAAACAAAAUAGCGUGUGGGUGCCUGGGUGGCUCAGUGAGUUAAGUGCCCAACUUUUGAUCCCAGCUCAGGGCAUGAUUUCACGGUUGGGGAGUUCGAGUCCCACUUCGGUCUGGUCUGCUAGGCGAUAGUGCAGUGCUGCGCGGAACAUGCUUGGGAUUUUGUCUCCCUCCCUGCCCCUCCAUCGCUCCCCCGCGCCAGCGCGCGCUCCCUCUCUCAAAAUAAAUAACUUAAAAAAAAAAUUUUAAUAAACAACAACAACAACAACAACAACAACAACAACAACAACAACAACAACACAGGGAGCAACAGCACUGGAAACAGAAGGGCAACCCAACCCCACAAAGCUUGCUGGGGCAGCCCCACCCGCCGUCCUCAAGUCUGCGGCUUUCCCUGCAGAAGGGCCCUAUAGGCGCGACGCGGGAUUGGGAGGGGGAGGGGGGGGUCGUGCGUCCCCAAGUCCCCGGUCCCCUGGACAACCCGGGCCCCCUCCCCUGCAGCUCUGGGCCCUCCCCCACGCCCUCCUCGUGCAGCCCCGGCUCCCUCUCCUUCUCCAGUACAGUCUCGCCCCCUCCUGAGCAGCUCCCAGCCCGGGCCUUUGGAGGCAGCCAGUAGCUCGCGUCCUGCCUCCCCUGGGCCCAGCUGGGGAGCCUCAGCCCCUGCGGCCUCCCCCAACCCUCGCCAUCGGCCCCGCCCUCCUGGCGAAGUCGGCGGAUCCUCUCCGGGAGUCGGUUGGGCGGGAGGUCCCAUCGGCGCCUGCGCGUGGGGCGGGCGAAAAGAGCCCGGAACCCUGCUUCCUGCCUCGCGUUUCCCUCCGGUGGGGUCGGAGCGCUGCAGUGGGCGCGCCAGCACCGCGGCCGUCGGACUCGGGUCACUAUGGCAACGCGGCGGGGCCGGAGGCUGCGGCGGACGGUCGUUCCGGAGAAGCGCCACUCCGCGACGGAUUGGAGAUAAGAGAGCAGAGGAAGCUGCUCGAGUGCGGCGGGGGGAGCGCCCCCCGAGCGGAGCCGUGUGCGCGACGGGCGGGCCGCUGGCUCUCGGAAGCUUCUGGGCUCCAGUCCUCGCUCAGCUCCUUCGCUGCCUCGUUUUCUCAUCUGCAAAGUGGGAGAGCGCUUCGCGAGCCUGUUCAAAGGACCUGGCUCUCGUCGGUGAGCGGCCGGUCCCCGUCUUCCCUUCCUCGGUGGUCCUCCUAGACAUCCUGCCCCGCUCCCUCUGCUGCAGGGUGAGGGUAGGGUAG